UACGGGGGGGGCAAGCGUUGUUCGGAAUUACUGGGCGUAAAGGGUUCGUAGGUGGCCAACUAAGUCAGACGUGAAAUCCCUCAGCUUAACUGGGGAACUGCGUCUGAGACUGGAUGGCUUGAGUGCAGGAGAGGAACGCGGAAUUCCAGGUGUAGCGGUGAAAUGCGUAGAUAUCUGGAGGAACACCGGUGGCGAAGGCGGCGUUCUGGACUGUUUCUGACACUGAGGAACGAAAGCCAGGGGAGCAAACGGG
This 253-nucleotide ribosomal RNA is filed under the name uncultured bacterium. Its description in RNAcentral is "partial 16S ribosomal RNA". It matches the Rfam family "Bacterial small subunit ribosomal RNA", at positions 524 to 776 of the family's 1533-position model. The record is from RNAcentral.